Non-coding RNA from Dendrothele bispora CBS 962.96, 101 nucleotides. The record is from the annotation of a GenBank genome assembly. NCBI's taxonomy places the organism in Eukaryota, Fungi, Basidiomycota, Agaricomycetes, Agaricales.
GGUCCUGUAGUGUAGCGGUUAUCACAUGGGAUUCUGAUCUCGAGGAAUAUACCUGUCACUCUAACUUUCCCAUGACCCAGGUUCGAUUCCUGGCAGGACCU